Molecule: small nucleolar RNA, 343 nt
Filed under: Mus caroli (Ryukyu mouse)
Lineage: Eukaryota; Metazoa; Chordata; Mammalia; Rodentia; Muridae
Description: predicted gene, 22009 (MGP_CAROLIEiJ_G0034389.1)
Rfam family: Small Cajal body-specific RNA 7
Source: RNAcentral
UGGAAAUGAUGAAAUAGAGAUAUUUGGGUGUUGAAUGUUGCUGUGAGUGGAAAAUUUUAAUACAUGUAGUAAUUCUCCUAGUUCAAUGUUUCAUUGAUAGUUACUAGUGUAAGUGUGUGCAUGCGUGUGUGUGUGUGUGUGUGUGUGUGUGUGUGUGGUGGCUACGAAAGGGGGCACUGAAUGGUGAUGCUGAUAUUGGAGUGCAUCUGAGGCUGUUGUAGAAAUAACAUGGGUUGUUGAUAACAACAUUGCCGAUGAUUAAAACCCAAAAACAGCUCACCUAAGUAGCCCAGCACCCUAAACUCUCUAACAGGAUCAUUAAACAUCCUGUGAUCUGAUCCAA